Molecule: transfer RNA, 73 nt
Filed under: Stegodyphus mimosarum
Lineage: Eukaryota; Metazoa; Arthropoda; Arachnida; Araneae; Eresidae
Rfam family: tRNA
About the family: Transfer RNA (tRNA) molecules are approximately 80 nucleotides in length.
Source: Rfam by way of RNAcentral
GUCUUCGUGGUGUAACGGUCAGUACACUGGGCUUUUAUUCGAGAGGUCCGAGGUUCGAGUCCCGGUGAAGACA